AAAGUUGUUUCAUAAAAAUACAUUCAGCCGUUCUUGCAUUAUAGUUAAACACAUACUAUCAAUCAUUUCAGAUUUAUAAUAUAUAUAGAUAAUACAGAGUGUCCACAUACAGAGUCCCUAAUUUAAAAAUGAAUAGCAUUGAAACUAAUGCUUGUUAUAAGGUUUAAUUGCAUGAAUAUGAAAGGAAAACUCAAAAAAUACAUGAAAAAAUUAGUAGACUUCCACAAGAGUGGUAUUUGUGGCUUGAAGAAUGUCCAAACAGAAUUUGAUUUCAUGUCAUGUCCUUUGCGGCAUUUCCAGUGUCACAGUCACAGUGACUCAAUUUGAUCCAUCAUAGUAGUGUCUGCAUGUGUGACACUUUUGUAGCAUACAUACGUUUUUUAAAAAAGUCUAAAGGGCUGAUAUCCAGAGAUCUUUGGGCCAUGCAAUUGGACUUCUGUGGCCAAUCCAACAUUCUGAGAAGACUCUGUCCAAAGUUUUUCAUACAACUUUGCUCCACUGUGGAGAGGCACCAUCUUGUUGAAAGAUGUCUGGGUGCAAAUACUGCACCUGUGAAAAUACAUAUUAUUCAUUGUUCUGAGUAGAUAUCAUUUUCCCCUAUCCCAACUGUAGUGCUACCUAUGCAAACUAUUUCAGUUGGCAAAAAAUGGGUGUAUAAACUUGGAGGGUUUCUGCAAUUGAUACAAGUGAUGCCACAUUUUGCUAAUUGAAAUAGCUGUGAGUGUGCAGGACUGAAAAAUCAAGAAUAUAAGGAAAUUUAUGUAAGGAUUUAUGUUUAUUGUGAUUGAAAUGUGCUCUUUCAUACUUUUGCAAUGCAAGUUCCUAUAAUUUCAAUGAGAGACAUUAAUAUUCAUAACAUUAUUAAAAAUUUUAAUAUUUAUAUAAAUUGCAAUAUUUUUUUUAUUUUUUAAGUUAUCUUGCUAAAAUAUUCAGUCUGUCUUCUUUUACCAUCUUUUCU
Molecule: long non-coding RNA, 958 nt
Filed under: Androctonus crassicauda
Lineage: Eukaryota; Metazoa; Arthropoda; Arachnida; Scorpiones; Buthidae
Source: RNAcentral